Molecule: long non-coding RNA, 910 nt
Organism: Oryza brachyantha (malo sina)
Lineage: Eukaryota; Viridiplantae; Streptophyta; Magnoliopsida; Poales; Poaceae
Exons: 2
Source: RefSeq, a predicted model, not a curated record
GUCCUACCUGGUGGCAAUUAAAUGAAGAAAGAGAGAGGAGCUGGCGCCUGCUUCGUCGACGGCCAGUGCACGUGCUCCCAGGCUUGGAGACCAUUCAGCUGGGCGUUGUAUGAAUUCGACGACGGCGUUGGCAGAUCGAUUGCGUCCACGCACCAGCGUGACUUGUUCUUCCUGUCGUGCUUCCACGCCAAAUCAACUGAGGAUGACAGCGGCGCACGGCAUGGGGAAGCCGGUGGCGCCGUGGGAGAUGGCGGCGCACGGCGUGGUACGGUGAUUUCCUCCUACGCGCAGCGAUUCGUCCCUCUACCUGGAGGCUGCUGUUAGCGGUGGCAACAUGGCAGGAGGCAUGGGCAUGGAGGUGUUGGCUGGAGGAGGAAGGAGCUCGGGGGCUCGACAAGUGCCGGGGGCACAACCAGUUUGAUGAUUAGAAAUAAUGAUCACUUUGCCGAACUUGUUUCAUGUUCAGAAUCUGAAAAAAAUGUUCUGAAGCUAGCAUUGUCUACAAACUUAUUGUUCCCUAAUUCAAUUAACUUUAUGCUUUUCAUAGGGACCAUAGCCCACACCCAAAUGGUGAUUUUAUUAACAUGUUCAAUCACCAGCUGAACAUGUCGCUGCUUUCCAGAUGUUUCAGGAAUAGGCUAUUUCCAGAUAGCAACUAGAAGGUACACCGGCUAAAAUUUACUGUCCAUGUUCUCAGAUAUGUACAAGUUAGCAUAAGUGUUCUUGAUAGCCCUUGCUGUUAGGAUUGGUGUUAACCCAUGCUGCCUGCAAGCAUCAACCGGAUCCAAAUUUUUUCGCAUUGUGGAAUCUCAGACUUUAUGUAAUAUUUGAACUAAAUGAUCUGCAGCUAUGUGUUAUGAUGAACUGACUCUAGUCAGUAUGAUAAGUGCAAUAUUUCAGUUUUUAUGAA